GAGGUUAUAGCUCAGUGGUAGAGCACAUGCUUAGCAUACACAAGGUCCUGGGUUCAAUCCCCAGUACCUCU
This 71-nucleotide transfer RNA is filed under the name Camelus bactrianus (Bactrian camel). It matches the Rfam family "tRNA". From Rfam's summary of the family: Transfer RNA (tRNA) molecules are approximately 80 nucleotides in length. Their secondary structure includes four short double-helical elements and three loops (D, anti-codon, and T loops). The record is from Rfam by way of RNAcentral. Lineage: Eukaryota; Metazoa; Chordata; Mammalia; Artiodactyla; Camelidae. RNAcentral also lists the same sequence under 2 other names.